AUUGAACGCUGGCGGCAGGCUCAACACAUGCAAGUCGAGCGGGGUGAUGGUGCUUGCACUAUCACUUAGCGGCGGACGGGUGAGUAAUGCUUAGGAAUCUGCCUAUUAGUGGGGGACAACAUCUCGAAAGGGAUGCUAAUACCGCAUACGUCCUACGGGAGAAAGCAGGGGAUCACUUGUGACCUUGCGCUAAUGGAUGAGCCUAAGUCGGAUUAGCUAGUUGGUGGGGUAAAGGCCUACCAAGGCGACGAUCUGUAGCGGGUCUGAGAGGAUGAUCCGCCACACUGGGACUGAGACACGGCCCAGACUCCUACGGGAGGCAGCAGUGGGGAAUAUUGGACAAUGGGGGGAACCCUGAUCCAGCCAUGCCGCGUGUGUGAAGAAGGCCUUAUGGUUGUAAAGCACUUUAAGCGAGGAGGAGGCUCUUUUGGUUAAUACCCAAGAUGAGUGGACGUUACUCGCAGAAUAAGCACCGGCUAACUCUGUGCCAGCAGCCGCGGUAA
This 503-nucleotide ribosomal RNA is filed under the name uncultured bacterium. RNAcentral describes it as "partial 16S ribosomal RNA". It matches the Rfam family "Bacterial small subunit ribosomal RNA", at positions 30 to 523 of the family's 1533-position model. The record is from RNAcentral.